RNAcentral lists this ribosomal RNA (765 nucleotides) under Triticum aestivum (bread wheat). RNAcentral's name for it is "partial small subunit ribosomal RNA". Lineage: Eukaryota; Viridiplantae; Streptophyta; Magnoliopsida; Poales; Poaceae. The record is from RNAcentral.
AUGGAGCUAAUCUGCUUGACGAUACCAUUCUGGCUGCAGCGGCUUAGUUGUUUGACUGUGUCAGAGUGCGAUAUGCUGCGAGUGAUAGAGAGCACAGCUCCAAACCUCACCACUUUAGACUUCUUUGGUGAACCAGUACAACUUGUGCUUAGAGAAUCAUCAAAGACUCUUACUAUAUACUCGUCUUCUGAGACGGUUAAUACCCCAAUGGUAGCUGACAAAUUCCUUGACAUAAAGCACUUGAAUAUUCACCUUGGUGAGGAUUAUGAUGACGCUGUUACCCCGACCUAUGAUUAUUUAUCCUUGGCUUUGUUUCUGGAUGCUUGUCCUGUCCUGGAGAGUUUCACCUUAAUUGUAGAUCAGAGUGAUAUGCAGCAUGAUUCGGUUUUUGGGAAUCCCUCCUUGUUUUUGAGGCAGAUUCUUCAACACAAGCAUGAGAGGCUCAAGAAGGUGCAGAUCAUUGGCUUCUGCUCUGCAAAGAGCAUGGUUGAGCUAACAUGUGAUAUUCUCAAGAAUGCAACAUCACUUGAGAGCCUCACUCUGGACUGUGUAUUUGGUGCGGGUACGGGGGCCAUUAGUGAUUCUGUUAGGUGUGGUCCCUCAAAAUCCGAUAAAUGCUGGAUCAGAAGCCGAACUAUGAUCUUGGAAGCACAUAAAGCACUCGGUGCCAUCAAAACGUACAUCCUGGAGAGAGUUCCCCCUGCAGUCAAGUUAAAUGUUGGGGGGCCUUGUAGCCGGUGCCAAGCUAUGGAUGUGAUGCUUUAG